CUGGUUGAUCCUGCCAGAGGUCACUGCUAUCGAGAUUCGACUAAGCCAUGCGAGUCGAAUGUUCUUCGUGAACAUGGCGAACUGCUCAGUAACACGUGGACAACCUACCCUUGGGUUCGGCAUAAUCCUGGGAAACUGGGGAUAAUACCGGAUAGGUCACAGCUGCUGGAAUGCACUGUGGCUCAAAGCUCCGGCGCCCAAGGAUGGGUCUGCGGCCUAUCAGGGUUGUAGUGGGUGUAAUGUACCUACUAGCCUACGACGGGUACGGGUUGUGAGAGCAAGAGCCCGGAGAUGGAUUCUGAGACACGAAUCCAGGCCCUACGGGGUGCAGCAGGCGCGAAAACUUUACAAUGCGGGAAACCGUGAUAAGGGAAUCUCGAGUGCCAGCAUAUAAUGUUGGCUGUCCAGAUGCCUAAAAAGCAUCUGUUAGCAAGGGCCGGGCAAGACCGGUGCCAGCCGCCGCGGUAACACCGGCGGCCCGAGUGGUAACCGCUAUUAUUGGGUCUAAAGGGUCUGUAGCCGGCCAGGUAAGUCCCUUGGGAAAUCUGGCAGCUCAACUGUCAGGCUGCUAGGGGAUACUGUUUGGCUUGGGACCGGGAGAGGUGAGAGGUACCUUGGGGGUAGGGGUGAAAUCUUGUGAUCCUCGGGGGACCACCAGUGGCGAAGGCGUCUCACCAGAACGGGUCCGACGGUAAGGGACGAAAGCUAGGGGCACGAACCGGAUUAGAUACCCGGGUAGUCCUAGCCGUAAACGAUGCUCGCUAAGUGUCAGUCACGGUGCGACCGUGAUUGGUGCCGUAGGGAAGCCGUGAAGCGAGCCACCUGGGAAGUAUGGCCGCAAGGCUGAAACUUAAAGGAAUUGGCGGGGGAGCACCAC
This 877-nucleotide ribosomal RNA is filed under the name uncultured archaeon. RNAcentral's name for it is "bacterial SSU rRNA". It matches the Rfam family "Archaeal small subunit ribosomal RNA", at positions 4 to 882 of the family's 1478-position model. The record is from RNAcentral.